This 233-nucleotide long non-coding RNA is filed under the name Panax ginseng (ginseng). RNAcentral's name for it is "long non-coding RNA (PGIN_LNC002709)". The record is from RNAcentral. Lineage: Eukaryota; Viridiplantae; Streptophyta; Magnoliopsida; Apiales; Araliaceae.
UUACAUAAAGGUAUAGUCAAAAACUGUUUUAGAAAUUAGAAUCUUUGGGAAGUGCUCGAGGAAACCUUCGUACAUGGGAGAUCAUGCUUCUAGGUUAUGAUAGAUAUCAUAUGGCCACAGAAUUAUCCUUGGUUGACCCAAUAGACUCCAAAAAAAAUGAGAAGAUUACUAUCAUAUUCUUCCCAAUGGUGAGUCUUCUCUUGACAUAUCAUUAUCUCCACUGUCUCUAAUUG